Molecule: ribosomal RNA, 405 nt
Filed under: uncultured bacterium
Lineage: Bacteria
Description: bacterial SSU rRNA
Rfam family: Bacterial small subunit ribosomal RNA
Source: RNAcentral
GUGGGGAAUAUUGCACAAUGGGGGAAACCCUGAUGCAGCGACGCCGCGUGGGUGAAGAAGUAUUUCGGUAUGUAAAGCCCUAUCAGCAGGGAAGAAAAUGACGGUACCUGAUCAAGAAGCCCCGGCUAACUACGUGCCAGCAGCCGCGGUAAUACGUAGGGGGCAAGCGUUAUCCGGAUUUACUGGGUGUAAAGGGAGCGUAGACGGCUUUGCAAGUCUGAUGUGAAAGGCAGGGGCUCAACCCCUGGACUGCAUUGGAAACUGUGGGGCUUGAGUGCCGGAGGGGUAAGCGGAAUUCCUAGUGUAGCGGUGAAAUGCGUAGAUAUUAGGAGGAACACCAGUGGCGAAGGCGGCUUACUGGACGGUAACUGACGUUGAGGCUCGAAAGCGUGGGUAUCGAACAGG